RNAcentral lists this ribosomal RNA (635 nucleotides) under uncultured fungus. Its description in RNAcentral is "eukaryotic LSU rRNA". It matches the Rfam family "Eukaryotic large subunit ribosomal RNA", at positions 24 to 664 of the family's 3401-position model. The record is from RNAcentral. Lineage: Eukaryota; Fungi.
CCCGCUGAACUUAAGCAUAUCAAUAAGCGGAGGAAAAGAAACUAACAAGGAUUCCCCUAGUAACUGCGAGUGAAGCGGGAAAAGCUCAAAUUUAAAAUCUGACGGUCUUUGGCCGUUCGAGUUGUAAUCUAGAGAAGUGAUGCCCGCGCUGGACCGUGUACAAGUCUCCUGGGAUGGAGCGUCAUAGAGGGUGAGAAUCCCGUCUUUGACACGGACAACCGGUGCUUUUGUGAUGCGCUCUCGAAGAGUCGAGUUGUUUGGGAAUGCAGCUCAAAAUGGGUGGUAAAUUCCAUCUAAAGCUAAAUAUUGGCGAGAGACCGAUAGCGAACAAGUACCGUGAGGGAAAGAUGAAAAGCACUUUGGAAAGAGAGUUAAACAGUACGUGAAAUUGUUGAAAGGGAAACGUUUGAAGUCAGUCGCGUCGGCCGAGACUCAACCUUGCUUCUGCUCGGUGCACUUCUCGGUUGACGGGUCAGCAUCAAUUUUGACCGCCGGAUAAAGGUCGGGGGAAUGUGGCAUCCUUCGGGAUGUGUUAUAGACCUCGAUUCGGAUACGGCGAUUGGGAUUGAGGAACUCGGCGCUUUGCGUCCAGGAUGCUGGCAUAAUGGCUUUAAGCGACCCGUCUUGAAACACGG